This 468-nucleotide ribosomal RNA is filed under the name uncultured bacterium. RNAcentral's name for it is "partial 16S ribosomal RNA". It matches the Rfam family "Bacterial small subunit ribosomal RNA", at positions 28 to 507 of the family's 1533-position model. The record is from RNAcentral.
GACGAACGCUGGCGGCGUGCUUAACACAUGCAAGUCGAACGGAAAGGCCCUGCUUUUGUGGGGUGCUCGAGUGGCGAACGGGUGAGUAACACGUGAGUAACCUGCCCUUGACUUUGGGAUAACUUCAGGAAACUGGGGCUAAUACCGGAUAGGAGCUCCUGCUGCACGGUGGGGGUUGGAAAGUUUCGGCGGUUGGGGAUGGACUCGCGGCUUAUCAGCUUGUUGGUGGGGUAGUGGCUUACCAAGGCUUUGACGGGUAGCCGGCCUGAGAGGGUGACCGGCCACAUUGGGUCUGAGAUACGGCCAAGACUCCUACGGGAGGCAGCAGUGGGGAAUAUUGCACAAUGGGCGGAAGCCUGAUGCAGCAACGCCGCGUGCGGGAUGACGGCCUUCGGGUUGUAAACCGCUUUCGCCUGUGACGAAGCGUGAGUGACGGUAAUGGGUAAAGAAGCACCGGCUAACUACGUG